Molecule: long non-coding RNA, 747 nt
Filed under: Homo sapiens (human)
Lineage: Eukaryota; Metazoa; Chordata; Mammalia; Primates; Hominidae
Description: non-protein coding lnc-ZNF91-4:3
Source: RNAcentral
UGCCAACGCUUUUGACAAGUCAAACUUUUCUAAACAUCAAGAAAAUCAUGCUGCUGAGAAAUCCUAGAAAUGUGAAGAAUGUGACAAAGCCUCUAAAUGAUUGUCACACUUGAUCGUAGGUAAGAUAAUUCAUACUGGAGAAAACUACCAGUGUGAACAAUGUGGCCAAGCUUUGAACUAAUGCUCACACCUUAAUGCAUAGGAAAGCAUUUAUGCUUGAGAAAAAGUGAACAAAUAUAGACAAAAAGCCAUUAAUACCUGCUCACAUCGUACUCAAAUUCAGAGCGUUCAUACUAAAUAAGAAGUGUAAUUACUGUCAAACGACUGAUCAGAAAAUAUGUCUUUAAAGUACAGAAGAGUAUUUUGAAAAAGCAUUACAAAUAUGAAGAGGCAUUAUUUAUGACCUUUUCUAUGGAAAGGCCUUGCUGUCUCUAACUCUGAUCUGAUAUCCUGCUUUGAGCAAAUAAAAGAGCCCUGGAAUGUGAAGAGACAUGAGACAGUAGUCAGCUUCUCAGCUUUUUAAUUUAAAGUCUGUUUUAUUUGAUACGGAGUCUUGCUCCAUCGCCAGGCUGGAGUGCAGUGGCGCGAUCUCGUCCCACUGCUCACUGCAACCUCUGCCUCCCCUAUUGAAGUGAUUCUCCUGUCUCAGCCUCCUGAGUAGCUGGGACUACAGGCACACACCACCACGCUCAGCUAAUUUUUGUAUUUUCAGAAGAGACGGGGUUUCAUCAUAUUCACCAGGCUGGU